Molecule: long non-coding RNA, 237 nt
Filed under: Lathyrus oleraceus (garden pea)
Lineage: Eukaryota; Viridiplantae; Streptophyta; Magnoliopsida; Fabales; Fabaceae
Description: Pisum sativum (pea) long non-coding RNA (PSAT_LNC014141)
Source: RNAcentral
AUCAACCUCUGGAUGUCUCUCCUUAGAACCAUACAACCUCUGGGAUUGACACUGCAGAUAGCACAACCGUCAUGGUCAUGCUCAUAGUCUCUUACCAAACAUAUAUCCUUAGGCAUCCUCACCAAGGACCUUCUAAUAAAGUGGACAUCAAAUACCUUGAACUCCCCAGGACAGCCGUCCACUAUAUUAACAGAUGAAUUUCCAUGGGCAGGUAGUGGAUUAGCUUUGACGUUUGGC